GGGGGCGAGGUCCAGUCUCAGGCUGGGGAAUCUCUGGAGCGGUGUUCGUCCUGGAGGCCAAGGAGCAAGGGAGCUAAGGAUUGAUUUCAUGGGGACUGAGAGCAGCAGGAAGGAUUAGGAUAUGCCACCUGCUGGAAGGAUCUACCUUACUGCACUUCCCAGAACCUAGAUGACCCAACACCCUUUUUGGAAGAGUUUGAAUAAUAGGAAUCAUUCAUCAUCUAUAAAGCAUCGGGGGAAAAUGGCAGACCUGUAUCUGGUGAAUGGGUUGAUUCAUAGAGAGGCCUGAAAUGCAGCAUAAUAUGGUGGAAAGUACACUGGCCUUGGCAUCAGAAAGCCUGAGUCUCAAG
This 350-nucleotide long non-coding RNA is filed under the name Phascolarctos cinereus (koala). Its description in RNAcentral is "lncRNA (ENSPCIG00000025521.2)". The record is from RNAcentral. Lineage: Eukaryota; Metazoa; Chordata; Mammalia; Diprotodontia; Phascolarctidae.